AUGCAAAUAGUCAUUCCAGAUGGGGCCCAUAGAGUCCAGUUAGCUCCACCCUAGGGAAAGUUCUGGGGAGGAGUUUGACAGUAGCUUGUGGCACAACAGAAGCUGAGGUCACGGGAGCUGUUAUCUGAAUUAUGCAUCAUAAAGCAUCAACUUGAACCCAAGCACUCAAGUGCUGUGGCUGCCACCGAGGUUGAUCAAAGUCCGCAUGCCUGGUCCGCUGUGUACUUGCUUAUCCAAAUUCACGCAUGCUCUCCACCCUGGCAUCUCUGCCUGCAGGAAACCCCAGCCUGGAGGUAACAAAAGAUCUGCCCAACAGGGCUGUUGAGAGAAUUGGAAAUGAUAUACGUCAAGUCUUAGCAAGUGCCGAACCCCCAAUGAGGGAGGACUGAUGAGCAGAAGUUCUAUUCCCAUUUUCAGAUUGAAAAUCUCAGCCUCAAAAGAGUCAAGGAACAUGACCAGGGUUCCAUGGCCAUUUGCUAUCUGAGACAGAUCUUGAUCCUGGUUUCUUUUUUUAACCCCAAAUUCUAUGCCUUUGGCUCCUCUAACGGUUUGGGUGGGAACGUGGGGAAGACAAAACCAAAUGGACCUGCAUAAGAAAAUCAGUCUUAUUUUGCUGAGGACAAGACUGUGUGCACCUACUUCGAGGAAAUAACUGCGGCAGGCACUGCAGAGUGGAACAAGAGGCAGAGGACCUAGCUCCAUCCUUCAAGGGCAAUGGUGCCGCCAGUGAAAUGGGCCUGAUGCUACGUUUGCAGGAAGUUACAUGGACCUUCAAGGAGAACGCCCAGGGGUACUCACAGUAGAAGCAGGAGGGAGCCCCUGCCUCCCAGCGGGCAGCUGCAGAUGUCACAGGCAAGACCCCAAACGUCAGGCUGCUGUCAGGAUCAAAACGCUCCCCUCGGCCUGAGACACCUCCUUUAUUGCCAGAACCGGGACUGCAUAGAAAGGAAAAGACUCCGGGGAACACACACCUGACUUCAGCCACACCACCGCCUUCCUGGCCGUGGGACACAUGAUGUAUGGCCACCUAGAAAAUCUAUCGCGUUUUCAAGCAUGAAGACAGACGAAUAAAAUGCAUUAUUUUAUUAGCAACUCUUAAGAGCUCCUGCAAUGGCGUGAGUUACAGCAGAUACAACUAAUUUCAUAUAUUUAAUGUGUUUAUUAGCACUUAAUUUACACUAACUUGCAUUGCAGGAUACUCAGCUAUAACGCAUGUUUACUAUGCUGUGUCAUUCCACAUUAAGCAGACUUUGUUGAUUGUCACAACCAGUGUUUCUAGGCGAGCAGUUGUCUUGCGUCCAAUGAUUCCUCUCCCGUCCCAAUGUCACCUGCCCAUCUUUGCCAUCGCAGGGUUUGGUUUCCACGUUGUGGUCUCUUUCAUCUCCCAUCUUUCACGAGUGUUUCUUCUGAGGUUUUUCAGAGUUCUUACUAUGCUACCAUUUUUGUGCUUCCCAAAACAUUUUAUGCUCGAUUAAGUAAAUAAACACUCAAGGACAAGAUUAUUUAAAAUAGUCAAAAAAAAAAAUACGAUUUUUAUAAGCAUUUUAACGCCCUGCAUGAAGUUCAAAAUCGGUGGCAUGUUGAACAUUACUUGAUGUGGAAAUUCUAAGCUUAACUUUUCAAAAGAUUAAAUAAAAAGCUCAGAAACAUGUACAGAUUUUUCUCAUUAAUAAGUCACUGUCUGCGUCGGUCUGGGUCCUCCAGGAAGCAGAUGCAGAGAGGGAGGUAGGAGAGAAAGAUUUACUGGGGGACGAAGCAGGAGCGAGCAGGGCAAGCCUUCCAAGCAAGCGCACUGCAGAUCUGGUCUUGGGAAAGGAAAGGGGGAGGGAGGGAAAUAGGGCAGGGAACAUCUCAGUCCACACUGCGGAUCUUUCAAUGCUUCAGGGAACCCAAUGGGGAGCGGAGCAAAAGUGCCCAACAGAAGAGUCCCACACUGGGCGGAAAUGGCCGGGUUCCGGUGCCCUCGACAUGCCCAGCCCUUCUCUUGGGAGCUGCCUGGGAAGAGAGACCUUGGCUCAAUUGCUGUUGCAAAGGGUCCCAAAGGCACUGCAGCUGGAGGCCAAGAGCUAAGCACGUUCCUUGCAGCUGAACGGCGUGUCCUUUCUUGGAGGGAGCAAUGCUCUUCCGUGGUUUCCACGCUGCCACCCAUCUCCUGCCAAUGUGGACCUUUAUAAGGCAAACGGCAUAGCUUCCUAAGGUUACUAACUGCUUGUCUAUUCUUGGCCUGGAGUGAUCAAGUGAACACCAUGCCCAGCUGGACUGUGGGGGAGAUACAAUUAAACAUUUUAUAGGGAGAUAUAAUUGACUGACAGUUAGUGGUGAACCAUGGGUACC
This is a non-coding RNA of Microcebus murinus (gray mouse lemur), 2334 nucleotides long. Lineage: Eukaryota; Metazoa; Chordata; Mammalia; Primates; Cheirogaleidae. The record is from RefSeq and is a predicted model, not a curated record.